Molecule: ribosomal RNA, 465 nt
Filed under: uncultured bacterium
Lineage: Bacteria
Description: partial 16S ribosomal RNA
Rfam family: Bacterial small subunit ribosomal RNA
Source: RNAcentral
GACGAACGCUGGCGGCGUGCUUAACACAUGCAAGUCGAACGGAAAGGCCCUCUUUUGGGGUGGUCGAGUGGCGAACGGGUGAGUAACACCCGAGUAAUCUACCCUCGCUUAUGGUAUAAUUUCAUGAAACCGGGGCUACUACUGGCGAGUAGCACCUGCUGCAUGGUGGGGGGGGGAAGGUUUCGGCGGUGGGGGGUGGACUGGCGGCUUAUCAGCUUGUUGGUGGGGUAGUGGUUCACCAAGGCUUGGACGGGAAGCCGGCCUGAGAGGGUGACCGGCCACAUUGGGACUGAGAUACGGCCCAGACUCCUACGGGAGGCAGCAGUGGGGAAUAGUGCACAAUGGGCGGAAGCCUGAUGCAGCAACGCCGCGUGCGGGAUGACGGCCUUCGGGUUGUAAACCGCUUUCGCCUGUGACGAAGCGUGAGUGACGGUAAUGGGUAAAGAAGCACCGGCUAACUACGUG